Molecule: ribosomal RNA, 377 nt
Filed under: uncultured bacterium
Lineage: Bacteria
Description: bacterial SSU rRNA
Rfam family: Bacterial small subunit ribosomal RNA
Source: RNAcentral
AUACGUAGGUGGCAAGCGUUGUCCGGAAUCAUUGGGCGUAAAGCGCGCGCAGGCGGUCCUUUAAGUCUGAUGUGAAAUCUUGCGGCUCAACCGUAAGCGGUCAUUGGAAACUGGGGGACUUGAGUGCAGGAGAGGAAAGCGGAAUUUCAUGUGUAGCGGUGAAAUGCGUAGAGAUAUGGAGGAACACCAGUGGCGAAGGCGGCUUUCUGGCCUGUAGCUGACGCUGAGGCGCGAAAGCGUGGGGAGCAAACAGGAUUAGAUACCCUGGUAGUCCACGCCGUAAACGAUGAGUGCUAAGUGUUGGAGGGUUUCCGCUCUUCAGUGCUGCAGCUAACGCAUUAAGCACUCCGCCUGGGGAGUACGGUCGCAAGACUGAA